UGGCGGCAUGCCUAACACAUGCAAGUCGAGCGGCAGCGCGGGGGCAACCCUGGCCGGCGAGCGGCGGACGGGUGAGUAAGGCAUCGGAAUCUGCCCUGAUGUGGGGGAUAACGUAGGGAAACUUACGCUAAUACCGCAUACGACCGAGAGGUGAAAGCGGGGGACCGAAAGGCCUCGCGCAGCAGGAUGAGCCGAUGUCCGAUUAGCUGGUUGGUGGGGUAAAGGCCUACCAAGGCGACGAUCGGUAGCUGGUCUGAGAGGAUGAUCAGCCACACUGGGACUGAGACACGGCCCAGACUCCUACGGGAGGCAGCAGUGGGGAGUAUUGGACAAUGGAGGCAACCCUGAUCCAGCAAUGCCGCGUGUGUGAAGAAGGCCUUCGGGUUGUAAAGCACUUUUAUCGGGAGCGAAACGCGCCAGACUAAUAUUCUGGUGAACUGACGGUACCCGAGGAAUAAGCACCGGCUAACUCCGUGCCAGCAGCCGCGGUAAUACGGAGGGUGCA
RNAcentral lists this ribosomal RNA (505 nucleotides) under uncultured Lysobacterales bacterium. RNAcentral's name for it is "bacterial SSU rRNA". It matches the Rfam family "Bacterial small subunit ribosomal RNA", at positions 37 to 536 of the family's 1533-position model. The record is from RNAcentral. Lineage: Bacteria; Pseudomonadati; Pseudomonadota; Gammaproteobacteria; Lysobacterales.